ACACACGCUGGCGGCGUGCUUCACACAUGCCAGUCGCACGGAAAGGCCCUGCUUUUGUGGGGUGCUCGAGUGGCGAACGGGUGAGUAACACGUGAGUAACCUGCCCUUGACUUUGGGAUAACUUCAGGAAACUGGGGCUAAUACCGGAUAGGAGCUCCUGCUGCAUGGUGGGGGUUGGAAAGUUUCGGCGGUUGGGGAUGGACUCGCGGCUUAUCAGCUUGUUGGUGGGGUAGUGGCUUACCAAGGCUUUGACGGGUAGCCGGCCUGAGAGGGUGACCGGCCACAUUGGGACUGAGAUACGGCCCAGACUCCUACGGGAGGCAGCAGUGGGGAAUAUUGCACAAUGGGCGGAAGCCUGAUGCAGCAACGCCGCGUGCGGGAUGACGGCCUUCGGGUUGUAAACCGCUUUCGCCUGUGACGAAGCGUGAGUGACGGUAAUGGGUAAAGAAGCACCGGCUAACUACGUG
Molecule: ribosomal RNA, 467 nt
Filed under: uncultured bacterium
Lineage: Bacteria
Description: partial 16S ribosomal RNA
Rfam family: Bacterial small subunit ribosomal RNA
Source: RNAcentral